AUCACUCCCUCACUGAAUGGCCCCAUUUUUUACCAUUAUCAAAUUUAUGACCACAAUCAAUGAAAUUAGAAAUAUUGUAUAAAGUUGAAGAAGCAUGCAAAGGUCCCCUCUUUUUUUGUUUCCCCUCCUCCCUUAUUCCUUCUCUCUUGGUCAUUUGGCCUUUGAAAUAUCAAGUAUAAUUGAGAGAAAAGUUUAAAAACUAAAAUGAAAUAAACGUGAAUGCAUUUUUUCCCCUUCUCUAAAAUGUGGGAGCUUUUUUCUAUGGACUACUUUUAUGGGACACAGUGCAUAAAUUGUAAAUGUAUGAUGUGAUCCAAUUUAUUGUGUUGGAUGUAUAAACCAGUUUUUGAGCUCCACUAUAAGUUCAUGAUUAUAGUGAGUGGUUUUCUAAUAUGUAAUGAAAUCUCUUUGAUCAAGU
Molecule: unclassified non-coding RNA, 418 nt
Filed under: Hevea brasiliensis (rubber tree)
Lineage: Eukaryota; Viridiplantae; Streptophyta; Magnoliopsida; Malpighiales; Euphorbiaceae
Source: RNAcentral